Molecule: ribosomal RNA, 1539 nt
Filed under: Klebsiella pneumoniae
Lineage: Bacteria; Pseudomonadati; Pseudomonadota; Gammaproteobacteria; Enterobacterales; Enterobacteriaceae
Description: bacterial SSU rRNA
Rfam family: Bacterial small subunit ribosomal RNA
Source: RNAcentral
AAAUUGAAGAGUUUGAUCAUGGCUCAGAUUGAACGCUGGCGGCAGGCCUAACACAUGCAAGUCGAGCGGUAGCACAGAGAGCUUGCUCUCGGGUGACGAGCGGCGGACGGGUGAGUAAUGUCUGGGAAACUGCCUGAUGGAGGGGGAUAACUACUGGAAACGGUAGCUAAUACCGCAUAACGUCGCAAGACCAAAGUGGGGGACCUUCGGGCCUCAUGCCAUCAGAUGUGCCCAGAUGGGAUUAGCUAGUAGGUGGGGUAACGGCUCACCUAGGCGACGAUCCCUAGCUGGUCUGAGAGGAUGACCAGCCACACUGGAACUGAGACACGGUCCAGACUCCUACGGGAGGCAGCAGUGGGGAAUAUUGCACAAUGGGCGCAAGCCUGAUGCAGCCAUGCCGCGUGUGUGAAGAAGGCCUUCGGGUUGUAAAGCACUUUCAGCGGGGAGGAAGGCGUNAGGUUAAUAACCUCANCGAUUGACGUUACCCGCAGAAGAAGCACCGGCUAACUCCGUGCCAGCAGCCGCGGUAAUACGGAGGGUGCAAGCGUUAAUCGGAAUUACUGGGCGUAAAGCGCACGCAGGCGGUCUGUCAAGUCGGAUGUGAAAUCCCCGGGCUCAACCUGGGAACUGCAUUCGAAACUGGCAGGCUAGAGUCUUGUAGAGGGGGGUAGAAUUCCAGGUGUAGCGGUGAAAUGCGUAGAGAUCUGGAGGAAUACCGGUGGCGAAGGCGGCCCCCUGGACAAAGACUGACGCUCAGGUGCGAAAGCGUGGGGAGCAAACAGGAUUAGAUACCCUGGUAGUCCACGCCGUAAACGAUGUCGAUUUGGAGGUUGUGCCCUUGAGGCGUGGCUUCCGGAGCUAACGCGUUAAAUCGACCGCCUGGGGAGUACGGCCGCAAGGUUAAAACUCAAAUGAAUUGACGGGGGCCCGCACAAGCGGUGGAGCAUGUGGUUUAAUUCGAUGCAACGCGAAGAACCUUACCUGGUCUUGACAUCCACAGAACUUUCCAGAGAUGGAUUGGUGCCUUCGGGAACUGUGAGACAGGUGCUGCAUGGCUGUCGUCAGCUCGUGUUGUGAAAUGUUGGGUUAAGUCCCGCAACGAGCGCAACCCUUAUCCUUUGUUGCCAGCGGUNCGGCCGGGAACUCAAAGGAGACUGCCAGUGAUAAACUGGAGGAAGGUGGGGAUGACGUCAAGUCAUCAUGGCCCUUACGACCAGGGCUACACACGUGCUACAAUGGCAUAUACAAAGAGAAGCGACCUCGCGAGAGCAAGCGGACCUCAUAAAGUAUGUCGUAGUCCGGAUUGGAGUCUGCAACUCGACUCCAUGAAGUCGGAAUCGCUAGUAAUCGUAGAUCAGAAUGCUACGGUGAAUACGUUCCCGGGCCUUGUACACACCGCCCGUCACACCAUGGGAGUGGGUUGCAAAAGAAGUAGGUAGCUUAACCUUCGGGAGGGCGCUUACCACUUUGUGAUUCAUGACUGGGGUGAAGUCGUAACAAGGUAACCGUAGGGGAACCUGCGGUUGGAUCACCUCCUUA